AAUAAGAUUAUUUUUCGUUUUUUCGUAUCCAAUAUUUGACCAUUCAUCUUAUUUGAAAAAAAUUUACGAUUAAUAUUUUUGUUCUUACUAUAUGAUAAAACAUGAAUAGUACUUUAUGCGUAACUAAUUUUUUAAGUUUUUAUACGAAUUUUUUAAAUAAGAUGAAUGGUCAAACGUUGAACACGGAAAAACA
Non-coding RNA from Oryza brachyantha (malo sina), 193 nucleotides. The record is from Rfam. Lineage: Eukaryota; Viridiplantae; Streptophyta; Magnoliopsida; Poales; Poaceae.